UCCAUGAUGUCCACAUACUCCUGCAC
This 26-nucleotide non-coding RNA is filed under the name Callithrix jacchus (white-tufted-ear marmoset). Lineage: Eukaryota; Metazoa; Chordata; Mammalia; Primates; Cebidae. The record is from RNAcentral. RNAcentral also lists the same sequence under 1 other name.